This 447-nucleotide ribosomal RNA is filed under the name uncultured Hyphomicrobiales bacterium. Its description in RNAcentral is "bacterial SSU rRNA". It matches the Rfam family "Bacterial small subunit ribosomal RNA", at positions 29 to 523 of the family's 1533-position model. Lineage: Bacteria; Pseudomonadati; Pseudomonadota; Alphaproteobacteria; Hyphomicrobiales. The record is from RNAcentral.
AACGAACGCUGGCGGCAGGCUUAACACAUGCAAGUCGAGCGCCCCGCAAGGGGAGCGGCAGACGGGUGAGUAACGCGUGGGAAUCUACCUUUUGCUACGGAAUAACGCAGGGAAACUUGUGCUAAUACCGUAUGUGUCCUUCGGGAGAAAGAUUUAUCGGCAAGAGAUGAGCCCGCGUUGGAUUAGCUAGUUGGUGGGGUAAAGGCCUACCAAGGCGACGAUCCAUAGCUGGUCUGAGAGGAUGAUCAGCCACAUUGGGACUGAGACACGGCCCAAACUCCUACGGGAGGCAGCAGUGGGGAAUAUUGGACAAUGGGCGCAAGCCUGAUCCAGCCAUGCCGCGUGGGUGAUGAAGGCCCUAGGGUUGUAAAGCUCUUUCACCGGAGAAGAUAAUGACGGUAUCCGGAGAAGAAGCCCCGGCUAACUUCGUGCCAGCCGCCGCGGUAA